Molecule: long non-coding RNA, 221 nt
Filed under: Homo sapiens (human)
Lineage: Eukaryota; Metazoa; Chordata; Mammalia; Primates; Hominidae
Description: HSALNT0208473
Source: RNAcentral
CUUGGGUCUCCUCCCCAAGUCUGCUCAGUUUGUGAUCCUAGGGGUGAGGAGCUUGUGCCUCUCUCUAAAGGAAAGUCACUCUGUAGACUGAGCUACUAGAUGGUAGGGGGAGGAAGGAGGGUAACUCCUUGGAGAACUGGUAGGGUCUACAUGGAACUGAACUGGAGCCUGGGCGGUGAGGCUGAGGAGCCCACCCCUUGCCUGGGAGUGAUGCCUUCAAG